Molecule: ribosomal RNA, 253 nt
Filed under: uncultured bacterium
Lineage: Bacteria
Description: partial 16S ribosomal RNA
Rfam family: Bacterial small subunit ribosomal RNA
Source: RNAcentral
GACAGAGGCCCCAAGCGUUAGUCGGAAUUACUGGGCUUAAAGGGUGCGUAGGCGGGCGUGUAAGUGUUCUGUGAAAUCCCCGGGCUCAACCCGGGAACCGCAGGGCAUACUGCACGUCUCGAGGAAGCUAGAGGCCGGCGGAACGAUCGGUGGAGCGGUGGAAUGCGUAGAGAUCGAUCGGAACGCCAAGGGUGAAGACAGCCGGCUGGGGCUUUCCUGACGCUGAGGCGCGAAAGCCAGGGGAGCAAACGGG